Molecule: ribosomal RNA, 451 nt
Filed under: uncultured bacterium
Lineage: Bacteria
Description: bacterial SSU rRNA
Rfam family: Bacterial small subunit ribosomal RNA
Source: RNAcentral
GUGGGGAAUAUUGGACAAUGGGGGGAACCCUGAUCCAGCCAUGCCGCGUGUGUGAAGAAGGCCUUUUGGUUGUAAAGCACUUUAAGCGAGGAGGAGGCUACUUAGAUUAAUACUCUAGGAUAGUGGACGUUACUCGCAGAAUAAGCACCGGCUAACUCUGUGCCAGCAGCCGCGGUAAUACAGAGGGUGCAAGCGUUAAUCGGAUUUACUGGGCGUAAAGCGCGCGUAGGUGGCCAAUUAAGUCAAAUGUGAAAUCCACGAGCUUAACUUGGGAAUUGCAUUCGAUACUGGUUGGCUGGAGUAUGGGAGAGGAUGGUAGAAUUCCAGGUGUAGCGGUGAAAUGCGUAGAGAUCUGGAGGAAUACCGAUGGCGAAGGCAGCCAUCUGGCCUAAUACUGACACUGAGGUGCGAAAGCAUGGGGAGCAAACAGGAUUAGAUACCCGAGUAGUCC